UACGUAGGGGGCGAGCGUUGUCCGGAAUUACUGGGCGUAAAGCGUGCGCAGGCGGUCUGUUAAGACCGAUGUGAAAUCCCCGGGCUUAACCUGGGAACUGCAUUGGUGACUGGCAGGCUUUGAGUGUGGCAGAGGGAGGUAGAAUUCCACGUGUAGCAGUGAAAUGCGUAGAGAUGUGGAGGAAUACCGAUGGCGAAGGCAGCCUCCUGGGCCAACACUGACGCUCAUGCACGAAAGCGUGGGGAGCAAACAGG
This 254-nucleotide ribosomal RNA is filed under the name uncultured bacterium. RNAcentral describes it as "partial 16S ribosomal RNA". It matches the Rfam family "Bacterial small subunit ribosomal RNA", at positions 524 to 776 of the family's 1533-position model. The record is from RNAcentral.